GUGGGGAAUAUUGCACAAUGGGCGAAAGCCUGAUGCAGCAACGCCGCGUGAGUGAUGAAGGUCUUCGGAUUGUAAAGCUCUGUCUUUUGGGACGAUAAUGACGGUACCAAAGGAGGAAGCCACGGCUAACUACGUGCCAGCAGCCGCGGUAAUACGUAGGUGGCGAGCGUUGUCCGGAUUUACUGGGCGUAAAGGGUGCGUAGGCGGAUGUUUAAGUGAGAUGUGAAAUACCCGGGCUUAACUUGGGUGCUGCAUUUCAAACUGGAUAUCUAGAGUGCAGGAGAGGAGAAUGGAAUUCCUAGUGUAGCGGUGAAAUGCGUAGAGAUUAGGAAGAACACCAGUGGCGAAGGCGAUUCUCUGGACUGUAACUGACGCUGAGGCACGAAAGCGUGGGUAGCAAACAGGAUUAGAUACCCGAGUAGUCC
This 425-nucleotide ribosomal RNA is filed under the name uncultured bacterium. RNAcentral's name for it is "bacterial SSU rRNA". It matches the Rfam family "Bacterial small subunit ribosomal RNA", at positions 354 to 796 of the family's 1533-position model. The record is from RNAcentral.